CCAUCAGCCCGAGAUAUUACAUGUUUUUGUAUUAGAUUCUUUCAAAAAAAGGCAGUCGAUACUGGUUUUUCUUUUUUGUUAAUUCGUCCGUCCGUCGGUCCAGCUUGAGCCGGUGCGUUUUAGUCGUGCUGGGUGAGGCAUCAUGCAACAGCAGCAGCAGCAACCUUUUUGAAAGGAAAUGUAUGUCCAGCUCAAGGUGACAGCUCAGCCAUCGAGGAGAAUGCUCAUUCGUUGGCUUCGCCCUCCGUGAAUGGCUAGAUUCGUCGAUUUGAUGUAUGUGUUACGGCAAUAAUUCAGUUGGUAUCAACGCUGUACGGUAAUUAGCACAGAGAGUCAUCAGACUCUUUGCUAUAUAGAUACGCCGUCAUCAAAUUCAGUUCGAGUCCAAUGCGCCGAUAACAAGCGUCCAGAAAGGGAAAGCUUUUUUUUCCCUUCAAGUCUCACUAACGCCCGACGGCCAAUGAAUAUUGACACCGACCCAGACACACAUAACUGUAUAGAAAAGAAGAAAUCGGUUUUGAUGUACAGUAGCUGUUGAUGUUCAGGAUUUAAGGUGACGUUGCACAUCAGCAUUUACCACGUUACGUUGUUUUUGUCUUUUUGUGACCUUGUUAUUCCGAAACGAUGACUUAAACGAAAUGAGAUCAUCCGACAAACGGGAAAUAAUCGGAAGAAUCUUUGGACUAGAAUAAGUUGAAAGGCUAAAAUCGCCCAUCGAUUUGCGUUCAAAUACGAUGGGUGGAUAUAGUGAUGCAAUGUCAUUAGUUCGGGAAAUUUGACAGCUUCUGUUUGCUCUAAAUACGUGAAUUGUUUGUUCGAUAUUUCCAUCAGCCCAGUUUUUUUUAUGCUACGACGUAGGGUCACCCACCGAUGUGUGUGGCCUCUAAUACUAAUGGGUGAGAAAUUGCCCACUUUCGAAAUUUUGAUGACUAAUAUCCACUGAAAUAUUCCAAACCAGGAGGUUAAACACCUAAGAACAUCCUGAAUAACCAGUUCAUGAUUUUCCUCGUCAACUUCGCUUGUUCAAUCAUUUGAAAUUUCAAAUUUGACGAUUCUAGAAUCAGAUGCGGAUGUUCAUGAAAAAUCAAACAGGAAUACGAAUCAUUCCGUUCCGCUGGUGUUUAGGUAAGAAAUAGAGACUGACCGGAACUAGGCACCGCCUGGCACCCGAUACUCUGGCGUGCAGUGACUCAGUCAGGAUGCGGGUUUCUUACAAAUACAAUACGAGCUCAGUGCUGGAUGUUUACCCUACGGCAGUUUUGUUAUAAACUUGCGACAUCUACCGGGUUUUUACCAACGAAAUGCUGCGGGUUGUGUGUUAGUGUACGUACCUGGUACGACCGGUGUUUACUUUUUACAGACUUUUCUGCGCACAAGCUUACGUCAUUUCGGAAAACAAUCUUUGGCUUUCAGACUCUAUUGAGCACACUAAAAGCAACAUUCCGGGAAAGUUUUUUUUAUCUGUUUUCAUUCAUGUUGUAUCACUGGUUGUAUGUAGAGGUAGCUAAUUAAGUGGAAAGUGGUUUUAUUACAGUUAACAAUUUGUACUUCAUCUUGGCAGUUUUCCAGCAAAAUAAAAAAAUCUUGCUCAGGUUAAUAAUUAUGGCGUACAAAUUUAAAUACAUUGAAUGGAAUAUUGGAAUAGCCUGAAGCCCUGAACAACUGAAAGAGAAUAAAUGAAUGACUGAAAUUAUGAUUUGCUUUUCUUUCAAAAGGCGCCGUCGAGCUAUAUAAAAUUUGCAACGCUGCUUUCCCCAUUUUUUACGGAAAUUCGUCUGCACUGCACCGCACGAAACCGUAGCUCCGUCAUAAACUCGCCGUUGAAGUUGCAAACUUAUAACUUAGCGUAGUGCUGGAUAAAUGUUUAAACAAUUUUAUUCAUUGUUUGGUUGUAAUGGACAGUUGCCAAAUUUUACCGUUCGUGCGAAAUUUUGUGAUGUUUCUCGAUUUCCCAAUCAUAGUACUUGUGUUAUUCCUGUGCAUCGCAUUCUCCAAGUCCCAACACGUGGUUGGAACAAAGCAGUAAAGUCAAAGAAAUGAAUACUGAAAAGCCCAGGGUGCACAGAACACACAGGUAGAAGAAAUGUGGAUGGAUGGAUAUUUUGCCUGCCUUGGAUUUUCGUGGAUUUUCAAUCUCUGUGCCAACAGCAAGAGGCCUGAAGUGUUUCACCUGUGUUAGUGUUAGUCUCUAUGCUGGAAAAGAAUUGGUUGAUGUCAGCAAAUUUGCUUCGAUAUGUCUUUUUGCCAAGCCAAUGUUACUGCAAAAAAUACAGCAAGUCUUUAGCCUUGGAAAUGCAGUGUAUUAAUACUGUUUAUGAAGCGAUUACGUAAUAGGCUUUAACUGAUUUGAAAGGGUAUCAAUACUUUCCAGUGCAGAAUAGAUCAGAUUGAACCAAUUCCACAGCUUUCAUUAAGUUGUCUGCUGCCCUUCUGAAUCUCCUUGUUGAGUUCAAACUUAGAAUGGUCACACUCUUAUUUUGAGAUUAAUCUUGCGCCGCUAUUCCAUGAAUUGAAUCCAUUGGUGGAAACUGACGAGAGAUCAGCAUCAGCAUCACCAUUUUUAAAGAGGGUUUUGGCCCAUGUCCAUUCGUUCCCAAGUUUAAAGCUAGCAAGCAACCACCAACCUUGGUCGGGUCACGAAAAAAGCCAGACAGCCGGCACGGAAAUAGUCACUCCAAGCCCAAUAAAUAGCUAGCAAGCAAGCACCGUCGUCGGUCGUGCCAAGAACAAAAAGAAGCAGGAAAGUGAGUAGUUCGAAAAUCCGACAUAAAGACCAGCUGGGAUUUUUUAUAAGGCGCUAUCAUCAGAAAAAUAUUAGUAAACUACGUGGGUCUCUCAAGGAGAGCGUUGAUAUUAGUUUUGGUGUUUGAUGGCAUACGACGAAUGGCCUUGUGGACUAAUCCAAUGGAAGCAAAGAUUCCACCCCCUGCUUUGUCUAUGAUCCAGUAAAACCAAGUUCGGACUGGUCCAGUGGAGUAAGACGGCUACAAGUAGUAAUACUUUGUGAAGUGACCCGGCCAUUUACGUCGCAUCGGAUUACAACAUCACCGCGAUGACUCCGACGCAGUUAAAUUUCCGUAAUGGUCACCGCAUAUCCCAUCCAUCUGGUUAAAUUCUACAAAACUAUUUGUGGCUAUUCCAUUCGUUCAGUUGUGUUCGGUUUUACAGGAGGCUAAAUCUUCAUCAGAGUGUUCCUAGUUCACCCCCAGUCAAUCCGGUUGGACAAAUUGACCUGCAGCCGGUCUUAUCGCAUUUCCGACUUGAGAAUUGGUACAACGUACAAGGUUCGCCAUCUCUCACGCCGGUCUAUUACAGAAGUAGUCAACGUCGUGCGAUGAGAAGUUAUGUCCUUUCAAGAAAAAGGACUAAGAGUCAACAAGAUUCCUUGUUUGCUAACCCGUUAUUGGCUGCUACCCUUGAAUCUCCCCAUUUGUCAACAACAAAAAAAGAGGUUAAAUAUUGUGAUCAUGCUAUCAUCAUUAUGUUGCCUGUAAGACCAAAUGUGGGGCAUCUGCCAUCUGGUUAUCCCUCCAAAAUAAGGCAAUGACCACACGUUGAACGCGGUCAUCGAACUUGACUCAUUCCAUCUUCUGGAUUGCGUAGGAAUGCUGAUUGGUGUUACCUGUCAUUUAGGUAAUGGCGAGAAGAUGCGACCUACAUGAACUUCUUCUUCAACGGCUUCUACUACCCUACUCUCAACAUAGCACGGAGUUUCACCCUUUAGAUUUUUGGCUGCUGUUCGCGAUGUGUGACGUUUCCUUGGACGAGAUGAUGAUUUUGGCGAGAAAAAUAUUGUGAACCUUCAGGUUCCUAAAUUUGCAUGACAGACUUUAUGAAAAGUAAUGUUCUUUCAAGAAAGUCAACAAGGUCCCUUUUUGCUAACCCAAUGGCUGCUACCCUUGUAUCUCCCUAUUUUGCUCCUUAGACAGUCCCUCUUGAUUUGAGGGUGAUCCUUCCCUACUGAUCAUGGACUCUAUUGGUGAAACUGAAAACCGACGAGAGAAUGCUGUAAUCCAAGACUGAUAAAUUGUGUGCUGCAUUAAACAAGUUGCGACUGGAGAACCACCUGCAGGUCGAGGGUCUAUGAGAAAGAUUCCUACCGUCAAAGAAACCAAACAAACCCAAGGUCACCGUGUACAUUUCAUACCAACUCUUCCUCUGUUACUCGGGAAAUAUAUGACUGAUCCCGAGCAAGUUGCAAACCUCUUGUCAAUCCCUCAAUACUUAAAUAUGGAAAUCUAUACUACCUCACGUCAAGAGAAGAGUCUAGAUUCGUUAUUGCGCUUGAUCCAGAAUAUAGUGGAAAGGCACACCACAACAGAAGUGUUGGAAGGCUGCGCUCAAGCGCUGGAAUAUCUUUGUAAUGAAGAUUACGCCAUAUCUUCUCGAUGUGAUUUAACAAGGAACCCUUUAAUUGAUCGUAUCGUUAAGAAAUGCGAACAAGAUUAUGAAAAUUAUGUAACACUGAUGGCUGGCGACGACUAGCCCAAAAAGGAUGCGGUGUUUACGCUGGAAUUGGGUUUGAAAAAAAUUCCCUUAUUCUCGUCACAUCACAAUCUUGGGACAUGGAAUUUGUGGAAUUCUCUGUUUAACGGAAUUCAAGAAACUUUAAACCUAAAUCGGUCAAUGCCACUUGAAGCUAUAAAAUAUUGCAUUUCUGCUUGCCAUUCUGCUGUUUUAUGGGAGCUUCUGCAAUUCAAAAACUGUUCUGGACAAGGAACGUCUGCCGCGCAACAACAGAAACAAUUAAGAGAUCAUUUGGGCGCGUACAUGUCUUUGAUGACUGAGCUAAUCACUUCGAACGUUGCUGAUUUUAGAGAAGAGGCAUACGUGUCUGUAGGGGAUUUGCUUAUAUGUUUUAGCAAGCGACUAAAA
Daphnia pulicaria is the source of this 4875-nucleotide long non-coding RNA. RefSeq lists it as uncharacterized. The transcript has 17 exons. NCBI's taxonomy places the organism in Eukaryota, Metazoa, Arthropoda, Branchiopoda, Diplostraca, Daphniidae. The record is from RefSeq and is a predicted model, not a curated record.